AAUAUGCAGCCUUUUGGAAACAGGAAGCAGCACAUUGCUCUGUGAUCCCCUGCAAGGCUGAACCCCAGAACCAGGCCCAGACCGCUCUUCUCCAACCUGCAACCUCCCCAGCCUGGCUUCAUAACAACCCUACAUACAGCUGGAGAAGGAGGACUUGUGAUGUAAUGCCGACGUGGCUAAAUACCAUGGAGAUAAGGUGGAUAAAUUCCAGAGAGGCAGAUCAUCAGCUGGUGGCUGUUUUGCAAGGUCAUGCAAGCAUUCGGACAUGGGACCGAGGCUGGCAGAUGAAGGGCCAGGAGUAAGGGAUGAGAGCCCGUCCAGAUUCCUGCCUGAGCAUUCUGCUUCCUGGUCGUCUAGUGAUGAGACAUGAACAAGUAGCCUGCUGCUCCUGCCACCUGCCACCCGGAUGUCACCAUGCCUGCCUGCUACCAAGCUGAGGAUGUAAUUCCUUCUUCCAGCUGCUUCUGCCCCAUAUUUUGUCCCAGCAACAGGGAAAUUAAUACAAUGAUUAUGUUGUAGCUGAACCACUAAGUCUAGUUCCAGACUUAAUUUCUCAAUGCUUAGCA
Molecule: long non-coding RNA, 566 nt
Organism: Mus musculus (house mouse)
Lineage: Eukaryota; Metazoa; Chordata; Mammalia; Rodentia; Muridae
Product: RIKEN cDNA A730085K08 gene
Exons: 3
Source: RefSeq, marked validated